CGUUCUGUAAGCCUGCGAAGGUGUGCUGUGAGGCAUGCUGGAGGUAUCAGAAGUGCGAAUGCUGACAUAAGUAACGAUAAAGCGGGUGAAAAGCCCGCUCGCCGGAAGACCAAGGGUUCCUGUCCAACGUUAAUCGGGGCAGGGUGAGUCGACCCCUAAGGCGAGGCCGAAAGGCGUAGUCGAUGGGAAACAGGUUAAUAUUCCUGUACUUGGUGUUACUGCGAAGGGGGGACGGAGAAGGCUAUGUUAGCCGGGCGACGGUUGUCCCGGUUUAAGCAUGUAGGCUGGUUGUCCAGGCAAAUCCGGAUAAUCAAGGCUGAGGUGUGAUGACGAGGCACUACGGUGCUGAAGUAACAAAUGCCCUGCUUCCAGGAAAAGCCUCUAAGCAUCAGGUAACAUUAAAUCGUACCCCAAACCGACACAGGUGGUCAGGUAGAGAAUACCAAGGCGCUUGAGAGAACUCGGGUGAAGGAACUAGGCAAAAUGGUGCCGUAACUUCGGGAGAAGGCACGCUGGUGUGUAGGUGAAGCCCCUGCGGGUGGAGCUGAGACCAGUCGAAGAU
This 562-nucleotide ribosomal RNA is filed under the name Acinetobacter baumannii. RNAcentral's name for it is "partial 23S ribosomal RNA". It matches the Rfam family "Bacterial large subunit ribosomal RNA", at positions 1237 to 1784 of the family's 2925-position model. The record is from RNAcentral. Lineage: Bacteria; Pseudomonadati; Pseudomonadota; Gammaproteobacteria; Moraxellales; Moraxellaceae.